Molecule: non-coding RNA, 363 nt
Organism: Scomber japonicus (chub mackerel)
Lineage: Eukaryota; Metazoa; Chordata; Actinopteri; Scombriformes; Scombridae
Source: the annotation of a RefSeq genome assembly
AUGACGAAGGAGUUUAGGAGUCUCCUAGGUGAUACCCGUCCCACCCUGACGGUGCUGCCCCCCUCCAUUGAGGAGCUGGACCAGGGCAAGGCCACGCUCACAUGUCUGGCCAACAAGGGCUUCCCCUCAGACUGGAGUCUGGCCUGGAGUCUGAACUGGAAGGUGGACGGCAGCAGCAGCAGCUGGGAUCAGAACAGGAGCCCCGCGGUGCUGCAGAAGGACGGCCUCUACAGCUGGAGCAGCACCCUGAGGCUCACUGCAGACCAGUGGAGGAAGGUGGGCUCUGUGAUCUGUUCGGCCACCCAGGGCUCCCAGACUCCACUGUCAGAGACACUGAGGAGAGACCAGUGUUCCCAGUCCUGA